UUAAUAAAACGUGAGCACAUUUUCUUUUAAUUGAGUCCUAAAUCUCGCUCACAUUUAGUCAUUUCCGACAUGCUCUCACCGCUGCUGCCUGUCGUAACUUCUGUUACUCAAGCUGUUGAGAUUCGGCUAUUGUCUGCAACAUUACAGUUCAACAUUGCAGGGUCACCUGUGGUGUCCCGCCAGCUAUGGAGCCGACUGCUGAUAGCCUGAGGGACUUCUUGAAAGAUAGAGGUGUCAGCGAAGAGUUUAUUCAGAAACUCGAAAACGAAAAGAUUGAUCCAUCUGU
Molecule: long non-coding RNA, 286 nt
Organism: Cyprinodon tularosa
Lineage: Eukaryota; Metazoa; Chordata; Actinopteri; Cyprinodontiformes; Cyprinodontidae
Exons: 3
Source: RefSeq, a predicted model, not a curated record